RNAcentral lists this ribosomal RNA (411 nucleotides) under uncultured bacterium. RNAcentral describes it as "bacterial SSU rRNA". It matches the Rfam family "Bacterial small subunit ribosomal RNA", at positions 369 to 772 of the family's 1533-position model. The record is from RNAcentral.
CAAUGGGCGAAAGCCUGACCCAGCGACGCCGCGUGGUGGAUGAAGGCCUUGGGUCGUAAACUCCUGUUCUGGGGGAAGAAAACGGGAUGCGUGAAGAAUUCAUCCCGCUGACGGUACCCCAGGAGAAAGCUCCGGCUAAUUACGUGCCAGCAGCCGCGGUAAUACGUAAGGAGCAAGCGUUGUCCGGAUUUACUGGGCGUAAAGAGCUCGUAGGCGGCCGAUUAGGUCUCGGGUAAAAUCCCCCGGCUCAACCGGGGAGAGUCGCAGGAAACCGACGGGGUUGAGAGCAGAGGAGGAAAGGGGAAUACCCGGUGUGGCGGUGAAAUGCGUAGAGAUCGGGAGGAACACCAGUGGUGAGGACGGCUUUCUGGUCUGUGACUGACGCUGAGGAGCGAAAGCCAGGGGAGCGAA